UGACUGCGUACCUUUUGUAUAAUGGGUCAGCGACUUAUAUUCUGUAGCAAGGUUAACCGUAUAGGGGAGCCGGAGGGAAACCGAGUCUUAACCGGGCGUUAAGUUGCAGGGUAUAGACCCGAAACCCGGUGAUCUAGCCAUGGGCAGGUUGAAGGUUGGGUAACACUAACUGGAGGACCGAACCGACUAAUGUUGAAAAAUUAGCGGAUGACCUGUGGCUGGGGGUGAAAGGCCAAUCAAACCGGGAGAUAGCUGGUUCUCCCCGAAAGCUAUUUAGGUAGCGCCUCGUGAAUUCAUCUCCGGGGGUAGAGCACUGUUUCGGCUAGGGGGCCAUCCCGGCUUACCAACCCGAUGCAAACUGCGAAUACCGGAGAAUGUUAUCACGGGAGACACACGGCGGGUGCUAACGUCCGUCGUGAAGAGGGAAACAACCCAGACCGCCAGCUAAGGUCCCAAAGUCAUGGUUAAGUGGGAAACGAUGUGGGAAGGCCCAGACAGCCAGGAUGUUGGCUUAGAAGCAGCCAUCAUUUAAAGAAAGCGUAAUAGCUCACUGGUCGAGUCGGCCUGCGCGGAAGAUGUAACGGGGCUAAACCAUGCACCGAAGCUGCGGCAGCGACACUGUGUGUUGUUGGGUAGGGGAGCGUUCUGUAAGCCUGUGAAGGUGGCCUGUGAGGGUUGCUGGAGGUAUCAGAAGUGCGAAUGCUGACAUAAGUAACGAUAAAGCGGGUGAAAAGCCCGCUCGCCGGAAGACCAAGGGUUCCUGUCCAACGUUAAUCGGGGCAGGGUGAGUCGACCCCUAAGGCGAGGCCGAAAGGCGUAGUCGAUGGGAAACGGGUUAAUAUUCCCGUACUUGGUGUUACUGCGAAGGGGGGACGGAGAAGGCUAUGUUGGCCGGGCGACGGUUGUCCCGGUUUAAGCGUGUAGGUGUGUGUUCCAGGUAAAUCCGGUUCACUUUAACACUGAGGCGUGACGACGAGGCACUACGGUGCUGAAGCAACAAAUGCCCUGCUUCCAGGAAAAGCCUCUAAGCAUCAGGUAACAUCAAAUCGUACCCCAAACCGACACAGGUGGUCAGGUAGAGAAUACCAAGGCGCUUGAGAGAACUCGGGUGAAGGAACUAGGCAAAAUGGUGCCGUAACUUCGGGAGAAGGCACGCUGACACGUAGGUGAAGUGAUUUACUCAUGGAGCUGAAGUCAGUCGAAGAUACCAGCUGGCUGCAACUGUUUAUUAAAAACACAGCACUGUGCAAACACGAAAGUGGACGUAUACGGUGUGACGCCUGCCCGGUGCCGGAAGGUUAAUUGAUGGGGUCAGCGCAAGCGAAGCUCCUGAUCGAAGCCCCGGUAAACGGCGGCCGUAACUAUAACGGUCCUAAGGUAGCGAAAUUCCUUGUCGGGUAAGUUCCGACCUGCACGAAUGGCGUAAUGAUGGCCAGGCUGUCUCCACCCGAGACUCAGUGAAAUUGAACUCGCUGUGAAGAUGCAGUGUACCCGCGGCAAGACGGAAAGACCCCGUGAACCUUUACUAUAGCUUGACACUGAACAUUGAGCCUUGAUGUGUAGGAUAGGUGGGAGGCUUUGAAGUGUGGACGCCAGUCUGCAUGGAGCCGACCUUGAAAUACCACCCUUUAAUGUUUGAUGUUCUAACGUGGACCCGUAAUCCGGGUUGCGGACAGUGUCUGGUGGGUAGUUUGACUGGGGCGGUCUCCUCCUAAAGAGUAACGGAGGAGCACGAAGGUUGGCUAAUCCUGGUCGGACAUCAGGAGGUUAGUGCAAUGGCAUAAGCCAGCUUGACUGCGAGCGUGACGGCGCGAGCAGGUGCGAAAGCAGGUCAUAGUGAUCCGGUGGUUCUGAAUGGAAGGGCCAUCGCUCAACGGAUAAAAGGUACUCCGGGGAUAACAGGCUGAUACCGCCCAAGAGUUCAUAUCGACGGCGGUGUUUGGCACCUCGAUGUCGGCUCAUCACAUCCUGGGGCUGAAGUAGGUCCCAAGGGUAUGGCUGUUCGCCAUUUAAAGUGGUACGCGAGCUGGGUUUAGAACGUCGUGAGACAGUUCGGUCCCUAUCUGCCGUGGGCGCUGGAGAACUGAGGGGGGCUGCUCCUAGUACGAGAGGACCGGAGUGGACGCAUCACUGGUGUUCGGGUUGUCAUGCCAAUGGCACUGCCCGGUAGCUAAAUGCGGAAGAGAUAAGUGCUGAAAGCAUCUAAGCACGAAACUUGCCCCGAGAUGAGUUCU
Molecule: ribosomal RNA, 2234 nt
Filed under: Salmonella enterica
Lineage: Bacteria; Pseudomonadati; Pseudomonadota; Gammaproteobacteria; Enterobacterales; Enterobacteriaceae
Description: bacterial LSU rRNA
Rfam family: Bacterial large subunit ribosomal RNA
Source: RNAcentral